Molecule: long non-coding RNA, 755 nt
Organism: Cercocebus atys (sooty mangabey)
Lineage: Eukaryota; Metazoa; Chordata; Mammalia; Primates; Cercopithecidae
Exons: 5
Source: RefSeq, a predicted model, not a curated record
UUCAGUUGGUCUGGAUGAGCCUAGGGCUCUACAUUUGCCACAAUCUCCCCAGUGAUCCUGAGGGAGGAGAAACCCCAGGGAAAAUAUGGCUAAUGAGGAUGAAGAAAUAGACGAGAGGUGGAACUUCAGUGAAGAGGAAAACUCUUCCUAGCCUUGGUCCAGAGCGAGCACACUAAAACUCUGUCCUGAAAGAGUGCGCAAGGUAGCGAGGAGUGAAGACGGGAGAAGGGAAGAACACCAGACCCCAAGGCAAUUGUCAAACUGCUUUGAAAGCCUAGAGACUACCAAAACUUCACAGGACCAUCUAAAGCCACUUCCAGCUGGCAGAGGUGGCCAUUUUCUCCCAUACAUGCCGGAGCAGAGUGGUCAAUGACAUCUAGUUUGAAUAGAAGACUCCUGAAUUAUGACUCUAUUUCUUUCUGUAAUUCAUAGAUAUUAUUCUAGUCUUCUGCAUUCCAGUGUUGUAGAUCUCCAAGUGUUUCUUGAACUCAUGGGGAAAACCCCCUCACUAGUAUUCUCUGCUGGUGCUUCUACACAACUGAAGACCUCACUGAACCUGGGAGCCUAUAGACCUCAGUAGAGGCUGAAGAAGAUACAGCUGAAUCAAAAUUGGACAAGGAAGAAAGAUGACAAUGUGUCUACUGCCAUCAGGCAAUGUUAAUUUUAACUUUUAAGAUGUUUCUUGUGGGCCUUCCCCUACAAGUCACUCCCAUAGUACCGUUCUCUAGGAGAUAAAAGCUAUGUUCAUAAAAUAA